UGGGAACGUACCCUUCAGUUCGGAACAACCCAGGGAAACUUAGGGCUAAUACCAGGAUACGUCCGUAAGGAGAAAGAUUUAUCGCUGAAGGAUCGGCCCGCGUCUGAUUAGCUUGUUGGUGAGGUAACGGCUCACCAAGGCUACGAUCAGUAGCUGGUCUGAGAGGAUGAUCAGCCUCACUGGGACUGAGACACGGCCCAGACUCCUACGGGAGGCAGCAGUGGGGAAUAUUGGACAAUGGGCGCAAGCCUGAUCCAGCCAUGCCGCGUGGAUGAUGAAGGCCCUAGGGUUGUAAAGUCCUUUCGGCGGGGAAGAUAAUGACGGUACCCGCAGAAGAAGCCCCGGCUAACUUCGUGCCAGCCGCCGCGG
RNAcentral lists this ribosomal RNA (369 nucleotides) under uncultured bacterium. Its description in RNAcentral is "bacterial SSU rRNA". It matches the Rfam family "Bacterial small subunit ribosomal RNA", at positions 118 to 520 of the family's 1533-position model. The record is from RNAcentral.